AGUGAACGCUGGCGGUAGGCCUAACACAUGCAAGUCGAACGGCAGCACAGUAAGAGCUUGCUCUUACGGGUGGCGAGUGGCGGACGGGUGAGGAAUACAUCGGAAUCUACUUUUUCGUGGGGGAUAACGUAGGGAAACUUACGCUAAUACCGCAUACGACCUACGGGUGAAAGCAGGGGAUCUUCGGACCUUGCGCGAUUGAAUGAGCCGAUGUCGGAUUAGCUAGUUGGCGGGGUAAAGGCCCACCAAGGCGACGAUCCGUAGCUGGUCUGAGAGGAUGAUCCGCCCACCUGGACCUGAGACCCGUCCCAGCCUCCUAGGGGGGGCAGCAGGGGGGAAUUUUGGAAAAUGGGCGCAAGCCUGAUCCAGCCAUCCCGGGUGGGUGAAGAAGGCCUUCGGGUUGUAAAGCCCUUUUUUUGGGAAAAAAAAGCAGCAGGUUAAUCCCCCGCUGUUCUGACGGUACCCAAAGAAUAAGCACCGGCUAACUUCGU
Molecule: ribosomal RNA, 491 nt
Filed under: uncultured bacterium
Lineage: Bacteria
Description: partial 16S ribosomal RNA
Rfam family: Bacterial small subunit ribosomal RNA
Source: RNAcentral